Molecule: non-coding RNA, 25 nt
Filed under: Mus musculus (house mouse)
Lineage: Eukaryota; Metazoa; Chordata; Mammalia; Rodentia; Muridae
Source: RNAcentral
UGACAGGUCUGGAUCACGAAGAGCA